Procambarus clarkii (red swamp crayfish) is the source of this 1506-nucleotide RNA transcript. RefSeq lists it as uncharacterized. The record is from RefSeq and is a predicted model, not a curated record. NCBI's taxonomy places the organism in Eukaryota, Metazoa, Arthropoda, Malacostraca, Decapoda, Cambaridae.
UAAUAUAUCAUUAAACAACAGCAUUGUGACUAUUAUUAAUUUUCGUUCGGAUAUUUUGUCGACGAAAAUGUCGUCGACAUAUCUGCAGUAGACACGAGGGUUCAGCCCUUCCCUCUGCACGAUGGACGACUCAACACGAGACAUGAACAGUGAAUGAAGCAAGUCUCGAGUGAAAACUUCGAACACGGUAGACUCUAAUUACAAGUCAAAUACUGACGUUUGUAGAAUUUAAUGUCAAUCCUUGACCAAUGUCUUUUGAAAUUGACGGUCUUUUAUUCUUGACGAUGGGCUGGAAAAUGAUGGACAAGUUCAAUGAGUCCAUCGAAAAGAAAAAGACAGCUGAAAGGACAGGUCGCUGCUGCUUCGUUGUUGCCAGUGAAUCCUGACUGAGGCGCCGGAAGUUGAGCAAUUAGCGGGAGGCGAGUUAGUGUUACGCUGACCGACGACCAGAGAGGACGUGGGCAAGUUUCGCCUCUGGGCAGAUUCAUCAACUAUUGAAUGUAAAUAGUGUGUAGACCCAGUGUCAUUCCACGAGGCCCGUAUUACGCCUGUGCCGUGGAAUGCUUCCAUGGUGACUGGUAUCAGUCCACGCGAUAUGGAAGCGCCUGUCAUGGCACUUAAUUUGCGUUAGUUCAGAAGAUUCACGUCUUCGCGGCACGGUCUCUGGAGCCCUAGGAGUUGAUAGAAUUCUCGGGGUAUCUGUUGCACGUCUGCUUGUCAACGAGGCUAUUGUGCACUUCCCGCCGUUCCUCCUGGUCUCGUGUGGUGGUACGUCUGCAGACUUCAUGCCAUCGUCAGGAGCUGGAAUUUGUCUUCAUUAAACGUGUCCUGUGGCCCACUGAGUUAAGUUUGCCGUCUCAUCUAUUGUCUACUUCAAAAAACAUCAGUGUCGUUUGCAAAGGAUCACUGUACACUUUGCGGUCCAACCUGGAUACCACAGUGUGUGCUUGGUACUCUAUCGCUUGCGACACAGGAGAAUACACGCCAAACUAUCCUCGACUUAAUCAUGUUUGUUUUUCAGUAGAAUACAGUACAUCUUUCCGGCUUGGAGCACUGAACACUGCAUUCCACGAUGUUAGUGAAAAAGGAUCAGUUCCUGAUAACAUGGCUCUAAUUAUUCUGGGAUGUGUUUUUAAUUUACUUAAAUGUCUGGUUUAAAUUGUCCUGGCUUGGUGCCUCUUGAUAAUUUGUUAAAUUGCAACAAUUUUAAAUAUAAUGGUGGUAAUCUAGUAUAAUAUUGCACUUGUAAGGGUCAUGAGGACAGGAUGACAGCUCUUAAACCACAAUUAAAUUAGCCCUUGCUAAUGAUGAGGGCGCAGCGCACACCAAAGUGGAUACACUUGUAAUAUAGUAAGAAAAAAAUAUGGGUUAUGGAAGAGCAAAUAUAUACUGCAAUUUUAUACUAAAAUUCUAAGAAUGUGGAAUAAACUGACUGUUCCUUAAUUGUUUGCAAAAUUAGUUUAUAAUUUGAGGAUAAUUUAUACAUUUUUAAAUAUUGUUUACACA